RNAcentral lists this long non-coding RNA (3698 nucleotides) under Homo sapiens (human). Its description in RNAcentral is "HSALNT0129503". The record is from RNAcentral. Lineage: Eukaryota; Metazoa; Chordata; Mammalia; Primates; Hominidae.
GGAAGUGGUCUCCCGGGCACACUGCCAGAGCAGGGCUGCACUCAGAAACAGGACAAAGAGCCUGAGGGACCACAAUCAGCGGAAAACCCAGCAGACAAUACCAGAGAGUUUCCUGAAACGUUGCAUUAUGAGAAACAUGAAGAUGUCCCUGAGCGUGUUAAGCUGUUGCCAGCCACGAUUGUUAUACUAAAGAUGUACCUGGUCCGCGGAGGACAUCUUUCAGCCUAGUUUUUGAAGACCUGUUACUUCUCUUCCUCAAUUUUGAGUUUAAUAGAUGCAGAAAGACUUCCUACCUGAAAUUCCACCUUUAAAGCAUGUCUAUGAAACAAAGGUUUUCUACCAGCUCUUCCAUCCAAGUUUGAAACCUCCUGCUGAGCUUUUCUUCCCAAUGUGUGGGGCCAGCCACGGUGUUGCUACCCGGGAGGGAGUGGUCUCGAUGGGUAGCAUUUGCUGAUUUCCCUGAUGCAAACUCUCGCAUGGUGGCUGAUUUCAAGGACUAGCGAGACCUCAUUGCUGAAGAGCUGGGAAAAGCUGCCCCCGUCAGCUCUCCACAGCCAGUACAAGCUGGCUCCCGCCUACGCAGGAGACCCACGGAUUAUGCCCAUCUUUGGGAAAUGGCUCAGUUCAUUGCUCAGAGAUAAGGAACUGCUCAAAAGAGAGAGAAUGCUGAUAGGAACAGGCCAGAUGUGGGGACGCAAAGACAUAUAAUGUACCAGACAAUGCCAGGAGGGUGGAUAUGAAGCAAAGAAAAGACAUCUUCUCAAAAUAAAUAAAUAAAAAGACAUCUUCUCUCCCUUUUACAAAGACACAAAAUCCCAGAGUCUUGAAUGCUGUGUCCCAGAAGGGUCCAUUUUCAAUGGCACAAUAAUACAUGGAAGAGGCUUAAAACUGUGCCUAACAUUUCGUGCUCUAUACGUUGUCUUAGUUGUUGUUAAAACUCAACUUUCUGGGAUGCCUCAACUGGCCACGUAUCUUGAUAAAUUCAUUAUUUUCUUCAAUUAUGCUGUAAGAAGAAUACUUGUAUCUUCUUCAGCCUCCAACAGACAUUCCUUCACCAUCUACGGAAAGACCCUGAAUAUUUUCACUGGAAAAGGGCCAGUAGUGAAAUUGGCAAACACUCCUUCAACCAGGACAAUGCUUCUGGGGAAAUGACAUUUAUUGAGCACCUACUACAUGCCAGGCAACUACAAAAGAUCUCAUUUCACCCUCACAGCAACUCUGUAAAGGAGGCGCUAUUGCUGUCCUUUUAUAAAUAAGGAAACUGGGGCUCUGAGAUGUUAAGGGAGUUGUCUAGGACUAUAUGGUGAGAUAGUAACAUAGCUGGGGUGACUCAAAUCAGAAUCUCUCAGGCUCAAAGCACGUUCCUCUCUCUAUGUGUCCACACUGCCCUUGAUUGAGAGAAGGCAGAGCUCAAAGGUGGCAUUUUCAUCAGGUUGUGAAUCCACUUUCAUGUCAUAUCACUGUGUGAAUGGGACUCCCGCAUUUGCACAGUGUACAGCCUGUGAACCCUUACCUUACAUGGCUGUGUGCAUAUUUCUUGCCCCUCUUCUCUGUUACCUAUACCCCAUGGCCAUUUUCUCUUCCCCAGACUACACCCCAAUGCAGAAACAAAGGUCCAAAGAAAACACUCACUUCCACUUCAGUGAAACACAAAUACUUUUCUCCUCAGAGGGUUGAGGAAGGAGAGAGAAAAGAUGGUGGCCACUGAAAACAGGAGUGGAGGAUGGUCUGGAUUCCAGAAGGAUGAGGAGCACCCUAAGCAGAAGAAAGAAGGUUCCUCUGUCAGAGAAGUCCAGCAAGGAGGGUGAGCUGCCCCCACAGAAGCCUCUGCCAAGUUCUCCUGUAGACAACGUCCCGGACACGUGUACGUCCCCCUAACCUUCGGGUCAGGAACCUGGGUAAGGGACCGCGAAGGAAAGCUGAGUCCCUGACUGAGUGAUAACUGAGCGGAAAUCAGUGGGGACAUUUCCCUGUGGGCAGCAACAAGUAGUGAUGGGGUUCCAUGCUGUCCCUGGCCACAGGGAGAUGUGCUGUGGGUAAACUACGUACCAUAAAGGCAGUACAAGCGGUCCUGGGGAUGAAAAAAUACCAUCUGAAAUAGCUGCCACCAAAAUUCCUCUUUGAGAGGAAACUCCUUUGUUGGAAGGGUUACUUGGGAAGUACUAGGGUUAAAUAGUGAGCCCUUGAGGGGCAUGGGUGUGGUGGGCACAAGGUCUGUGAGGAGAGCAUGGCCUGGGCUUCCCGUGGUUGGUAUGGAGGCAGGGUGGAUGGGUGGGAGGAAAGAGGUGAAAAGAAAGACAGGAAGGUGAAGGGGGGUGUCAGCGAGGUAACGGGAAGCUGCCUAGAGAGGCGGAAUGCCCCUCUCUGCAAGGAAACAUACUCAACCCCCGGCUGUGACUGGGGUGAAUGGGACUUUCUGGCGACUUCAGAAGCAGCUGUGGUCACAUCUGGGUGGCUGUGAUGUGGGACAGAGACUACCUGCAAAGACUUGGGGUCCUGGAGGCUGCAGUGACCCUGACUACAUCAGCCCCUCUCUAUCCCCAGAGUGGGAAGAAACUGUAGGUUCAAGCCAAGUUUAGCUAUUUACUGUGACCUUGGUAGGUCCCUGCUGAUAGCUGGCUUAUGUAAAAUUCAGACAAUGAGCAGAGAAAACAUAAAUUCCAGCACAGGCGAAUUUGGAAAAUGCUGUAUAGAGCAAAUCGUGUUGACUUAGCAUUUGUGCUUAGCCGAGAAGGUGCUGCCCUGCACGUGCUCAGAGCCCCUCUCCCAUUUCACCAACUAGACAAGCCACUCCGCCAUCCUGCAGAGAAGCUAAGAGAGGGAAGGGCAGGUUGCUCUCCCAUGCUUCUGAACAUGUGGAAGAGGCAAGGGAGAAACAUGGGGUGAGGAAGAGAGAAAGACUUUCCCUAUCCGAAGAGCAAACCAGUCUGUGUAUGUUUGCCUCCAGUCAAACAGCUUCUAAAUACUGAAGAGUGCCAGAGGACUAUUUAUUUUGCCACUUACAAGCGAUCAGAAAAAAACCUUUUAUUUACAUUGUGGAGGCUCAAGGACCCUGAACUUAUUCUUAGGCUAUUAAAAUAAUUUUACUAUUUUGGCAACGUCUAAAUGCAAGUAAUUUAAGACACCCCUCUGCCUAAGGCUAACAAAAUCAUUGUGGUAUAACUAUUAGUUUGGUGCUAAAAGUAAUUGUGGUUUUUGCCAUUAAAAGUAUUUGUAGAACAAACCAAUUACUCUUGCACCAACUUAAUAGCAUUGGAUCCACUAACCUGGAAACACCACACCAGAGAGGUGCCUGACUGCAAGGAGAGCACAUGGUUGGCACAUGCCAAAUGUUUGUGGAAGAAGCUGGGGAGUCCCCAGCAGCUGAGAUGGAUGGUGAUCAUCAACUUCCGAAGUGUUAAAGAAAACUGAAGGGUUCUGGCCAGGCGUGGUGGUUCACACCUGUAAUCCCAGCACUUUGGGAGGCUGAGGUAGGCGGAUCACCUGAGGUCAGGAGUUCUAGACCAGCCUGGACAACAUGGCAAAACUCCAUCUCUACUAAAAAUACAAAAAUUAGCCGGGUGUGGUGGUGCAUGCCUGUGGUCCCAGCUGCUCGGGAGGCUGAGGCCAAAGACUCAUUUGAACCCAGUAGGUGGAGCUUGCAGUGAGUUUAGAUUACACCACUGCACUCCAGUCUGGGCAACAGAGUGAGAUUCUGC